RNAcentral lists this ribosomal RNA (497 nucleotides) under uncultured bacterium. RNAcentral describes it as "partial 16S ribosomal RNA". It matches the Rfam family "Bacterial small subunit ribosomal RNA", at positions 28 to 507 of the family's 1533-position model. The record is from RNAcentral.
GAUGAACGCUGGCGGCGUGCCUAAUACAUGCAAGUUGAGCGAACGGACGAGAAGCUUGCUUCUCUGAUGUUAGCGGCGGACGGGUGAGUAACACGUGGAUAACCUACCUAUAAGACUGGGAUAACUUCGGGAAACCGGAGCUAAUACCGGAUGAUAUUUUGAACCGCAUGGUUCAAAAGUGAAAGACGGUCUUGCUGUCACUUAUAGAUGGAUCCGCGCUGCAUUAGCUAGUUGGCAAGGUAACGGCUUACCAAGGCAACGAUGCAUAGCCGACCUGAGAGGGUGAUCGGCCACACUGGAACUGAGACACGGUCCAGACUCCUACGGGAGGCAGCAGUAGGGAAUCUUCCGCAAUGGGCGAAAGCCUGACGGAGCAACGCCGCGUGAGUGAUGAAGGUCUUCGGAUCGUAAAACUCUGUUAUUAGGGAAGAACAUAUGUGUAAGUAACUGUGCACAUCUUGACGGUACCUAAUCAGAAAGCCACGGCUAACUACGUG